RNAcentral lists this ribosomal RNA (785 nucleotides) under uncultured bacterium. RNAcentral describes it as "bacterial SSU rRNA". It matches the Rfam family "Bacterial small subunit ribosomal RNA", at positions 13 to 795 of the family's 1533-position model. The record is from RNAcentral.
UUGAUCCUGGCUCAGGAUGAACGCUAGCUACAGGCUUAACACAUGCAAGUCGAGGGGUAGCAGGGUAGCAAUACCGCUGACGACCGGCGCACGGGUGAGUAACACGUAUCCAACCUUCCCUUUACUCUGGGAUAGCCUUUCGAAAGAAAGAUUAAUACCGGAUAGUACAAUGAAUAGGCAUCUAUUUAUUGUUAAAGAUUUAUUGGUAAUGGAUGGGGAUGCGUUCCAUUAGAUUGUUGGUGAGGUAACGGCUCACCAAGUCUUCGAUGGAUAGGGGUUCUGAGAGGAAGGUCCCCCACAUUGGUACUGAGACACGGACCAAACUCCUACGGGAGGCAGCAGUGAGGAAUAUUGGUCAAUGGGCGAGAGCCUGAACCAGCCAAGUAGCGUGAAGGAUGAAGGUCCUAUGGAUUGUAAACUUCUUUUAUAGUAGAAUAAAGUGAGCCACGUGUGGUUUUUUGUAUGUAUACUAUGAAUAAGGAUCGGCUAACUCCGUGCCAGCAGCCGCGGUAAUACGGAGGAUCCGAGCGUUAUCCGGAUUUAUUGGGUUUAAAGGGUGCGUAGGCGGAAUAAUAAGUCAGUUGUGAAAGUUUGCGGCUCAACCGUAAAAUUGCAGUUGAUACUGUUAUUCUUGAGUGUACAUAAGGUAGGCGGAAUUCGUGGUGUAGCGGUGAAAUGCUUAGAUAUCACGAAGAACUCCAAUUGCGAAGGCAGCUUACCGGGGUACAACUGACGCUGAGGCACGAAAGUGUGGGUAUCAAACAGGAUUAGAUACCCUGGUAGUC